GCGACGGAGUAAGAUGGCGCCAGCUGGCCGCGGGGAGCGGCGGGCUCCAGCGCGCUUCGUCUACGUGACCCGCUUCGGCUCGCACCAGUGUGGCUGCGUGUUGCAGCUAGGUGGCCCUCGAGCUUCCGGCCGCGGAUGGUCAAGGCCCGAGACCCGCGGCGGCCCAAAAGAGCCGCGGGAGGCGGCGGCGGGGUCCCUGAACGGCGGCGAGCUGCCCGCGGGUCCCGGGCGCAGGGUCCCCGCGGGCCGGGCCGGCAGCUCCCGGCUACGGGCGUCGAAUGCGCCAGGCCGCCCCGGCCCUGCAGGUGUCAUUCAGAAGGAUGCAGCUAAAAAGUUUGAUUUUCCUAUACAAGUGAAUGAAGCCUCCAAAAUAAUGAAAAAAAUGAAAAAGGUAUAUUAUUGUAAAGGAGAGUGAGCAAUACUUUGAACUUUAGAUUAAA
This 440-nucleotide long non-coding RNA is filed under the name Ictidomys tridecemlineatus (thirteen-lined ground squirrel). Its description in RNAcentral is "lncRNA (ENSSTOG00000032967.1)". The record is from RNAcentral. Lineage: Eukaryota; Metazoa; Chordata; Mammalia; Rodentia; Sciuridae.